UAGGGAAUCUUCCGCAAUGGGCGAAAGCCUGACGGAGCAACGCCGCGUGAGUGAUGAAGGUCUUCGGAUCGUAAAACUCUGUUAUUAGGGAAGAACAAAUGUGUAAGUAACUAUGCACGUCUUGACGGUACCUAAUCAGAAAGCCACGGCUAACUACGUGCCAGCAGCCGCGGAAUACGUAGGUGGCAAGCGUUAUCCGGAAUUAUUGGGCGUAAAGCGCGCGUAGGCGGUUUUUUAAGUCUGAUGUGAAAGCCCACGGCUCAACCGUGGAGGGUCAUUGGAAACUGGAAAACUUGAGUGCAGAAGAGGAAAGUGGAAUUCCAUGUGUAGCGGUGAAAUGCGCAGAGAUAUGGAGGAACACCAGUGGCGAAGGCGACUUUCUGGUCUGUAACUGACGCUGAUGUGCGAAAGCGUGGGGAUCAAACAGG
This 428-nucleotide ribosomal RNA is filed under the name Actinomycetes bacterium. RNAcentral describes it as "Actinobacteria bacterium partial 16S ribosomal RNA". It matches the Rfam family "Bacterial small subunit ribosomal RNA", at positions 355 to 776 of the family's 1533-position model. Lineage: Bacteria; Bacillati; Actinomycetota; Actinomycetes. The record is from RNAcentral.